GACGAACGCUGGCGGCGUGCUUAACACAUGCAAGUCGAACGGAAAGGCCCUGCUUUUGUGGGGUGCUCGAGUGGCGAACGGGUGAGUAACACGUGAGUAACCUGCCCUUGACUUUGGGAUAACUUCAGGAAACUGGGGCUAAUACCGGAUAGGAGCUCCUGCUGCAUGGUGGGGGUUGGAAAGUUUCGGCGGUUGGGGAUGGACUCGCGGCUUAUCAGCUUGUUGGUGGGGUAGUGGCUUACCAAGGCUUUGACGGGUAGCCGGCCUGAGAGGGUGACCGGCCACAUUGGGACUGAGAUACGGCCCAGACUCCUACGGGAGGCAGCAGUGGGGAAUAUUGCACAAUGGGCGGAAGCCUGAUGCAGCAACGCCGCGUGCGGGAUGACGGCCUUCGGGUGGUAAACCGAUUUCGCCUGUGACGAAGCGUGAGUGACGGUAAUGGGUAAAGAAGCACCGGCUACUACGUG
RNAcentral lists this ribosomal RNA (467 nucleotides) under uncultured bacterium. Its description in RNAcentral is "partial 16S ribosomal RNA". It matches the Rfam family "Bacterial small subunit ribosomal RNA", at positions 28 to 507 of the family's 1533-position model. The record is from RNAcentral.